AGGCAGAUAUUCGAAAAAAAAAGGAUGAAAAACCCAGCACCCACCCUCGAUUUUGUAUUCGUUUUACCGUUGGAAGACAGAUGCCCUGGGCGAUCACUUAUCACUCAUCUGAUCAAGCGCAGAAGCCUUAGAAUAUUUCUUGCCUUUGAUUUGUUGAGUCGUAUACAAUUUUGGAGAUCAUGGCAUUAAUUCGCCCUUUUCGACCAACAAUUGGAUAUUUUAAUCUCAGUACUUUUAUGAAUUUGUUGUGCUUCGGAGGGUUAUUUGAAUAAUUCUAUUUUUGGUGCGUGGUUACAGACUCGUCUGAUGUUGGCUUCAAUGUUUGUGAGUGCUACGCAUUGAGAGGCUCCUGCAAGCUGCUCGAAAGAUAGGAUUGUCCUGCAUUACGCUGCAAAUUAUGGGUACACUGACCGCGUGGAAGCUAUUCUUCUAGCUCGACAUUUAACAUCUGUUUUAGAUUCCUGGUUGUUAAAUCAAAGGUAGAUAGCUCAAUCACCUAUAUCUGUCACUCUUGCAGAGUAUAGCAGGCCAGCUGAGUUUUGCCAAUGCACCAGGUAGCACAAGUAGCUCAAAAAAUUUCCUGCAUAAGGGUCACAAGAAAACGUGCAUAGAGGCUUGAUAACUACUUGAAAAAAAUCGGUUAUAAGUUCAUCAAGUACUUAGGAAACUUAUUUAUCAUCAUGAACUGGUCCACUACAUCCUAUAUUGUGAAAAGCAGCAUAAAGUGGAUCUGCAACCACCGAAAUUUAUAUGGAGAAUGUUAGAAACAGUGGAUAACGGAGCUAUGAAAUUUGUUAUUUAAUCUCAUGUCUCAAUGUUUUACUGUGCAAUUUUGCUAAUAAAUGGA
This is a long non-coding RNA of Cryptomeria japonica (Japanese cedar), 847 nucleotides long. RefSeq lists it as uncharacterized. The transcript is spliced from 3 exons. The record is from RefSeq and is a predicted model, not a curated record. Lineage: Eukaryota; Viridiplantae; Streptophyta; Pinopsida; Cupressales; Cupressaceae.